UCUUGCCUCAUAGUUGCAGACGACACGUGCGCGAUCUUGACCAUUCUCUGCUGGUGCGGAAGGAGACGGUGGAGUGGACGAGUGGAAGGUUGCUCCAGACAUGCUGGUGUGGAGAAAUAAUAAUGGCAUUGCUUACAAACUUUAGUAACGUCCGUAUCAAAAGAAGCAGUGACAUAUGUGGAUCCAGCUAGAGUCUGGUGAUGGGAAAGUGGAUCUCGGACAUGGCUGAGAGAAGAGGAAUGGGCACCAGGUGUAGAAAGCUCAAUAACUUCCUCACUGUUCACCCGGAGAAGAGGACUCGGUUGACGUGCCCUGGAAUCCCAUCAAAGCGAGCAAAGAUAGAAGCGAGUAGAUACAUGGAAGAUAGAAAGCGUAUCAAAUGACUGCUACAUAUAAACAAUCACCACACAAUAAGCAUGAAACCGUGAAUCCACUUAACACCUGUUUUCAACCACUGGCAUAAAUUGCAGAAAUUAAUAAAGGUGGGUCCCUAAAGUUA
Athalia rosae (coleseed sawfly) is the source of this 499-nucleotide long non-coding RNA. RefSeq lists it as uncharacterized. Lineage: Eukaryota; Metazoa; Arthropoda; Insecta; Hymenoptera; Athaliidae. The transcript is spliced from 2 exons. The record is from RefSeq and is a predicted model, not a curated record.